GUUGGAUGUGGAAGCAUAGUGAUAUGUGAAGCUGACCAAUACUAAUUGCUCGUGAGGCUUGACUAUACAACACCCA
Molecule: ribosomal RNA, 76 nt
Filed under: Acinetobacter baumannii ABNIH13
Lineage: Bacteria; Pseudomonadati; Pseudomonadota; Gammaproteobacteria; Moraxellales; Moraxellaceae
Description: partial 23S ribosomal RNA
Source: RNAcentral